ACAUAACUUUGGAGAAUCUCAUUAAAUUGAGUGCCGAAGGGGCAAAGCGUUUUCGCUAAUCUCUCAGGCAAAAGGACAAAGUAU
Molecule: non-coding RNA, 84 nt
Filed under: human gut metagenome
Description: Glycine riboswitch
Rfam family: Glycine riboswitch aptamer
About the family: This family represents the bacterial glycine riboswitch. Glycine riboswitches usually consist of two metabolite-binding aptamers domains with similar structures in tandem.
Source: RNAcentral